RNAcentral lists this unclassified non-coding RNA (400 nucleotides) under uncultured fungus. Its description in RNAcentral is "sequence contains ITS1". The record is from RNAcentral. Lineage: Eukaryota; Fungi.
CCGUCAAUUCAUUUGAGUUUUAACCUUGCGGCCGUACUCCCCAGGCGGUCGACUUCACGCGUUAGCUACGGUACUGGGAAAUCGCUUCCCCAACACCCAGUCGACAUCGUUUAGGGCGUGGACUACCAGGGUAUCUAAUCCUGUUUGCUCCCCACGCUUUCGUGCCUGAGCGUCAGUGUCAGCCCAGGGGGCUGCCUUCGCCAUCGGUGUUCCUCCGCAUCUCUACGCAUUUCACUGCUACACGCGGAAUUCCACCCCCCUCUGCCACACUCCAGUUCGCCAGUUUCAACGGCCAUUCCCAGGUUGAGCCCGGGGCUUUCACCGCCGACACAACGAACCGCCUGCGCACGCUUUACGCCCAGUAAUUCCGAUUAACGCUUGCACCCUACGUAUUACCGCG